Long non-coding RNA from Chelonia mydas (Green sea turtle), 422 nucleotides. RefSeq lists it as uncharacterized. NCBI's taxonomy places the organism in Eukaryota, Metazoa, Chordata, Testudines, Cheloniidae. The transcript has 3 exons. The record is from RefSeq and is a predicted model, not a curated record.
UAGCACAUCUAAUUUCUGUUUUGAUCUUGUUUUGUUUUCAGUUAUUUAAUUUCUACCGUUCCUUAGAUGUCUUUUCAAACCGCACAAGAUGCUAUGCAGAAAAGCAGAAGAGGGAUGUGUGGUCUUUAGGAAAUACAUCAGGACACGCAGACAAGAUAUUCAUGAAAACAAUGGACAAACAACCUGGAUUCCUUUGCUAGCUGGAUGCUGCUAAUGCCACGGGAGACACCGAAUGAGUUGAACCCCAACCACUUUCUUGAUGCUGAUGGAAAGUUUACAAAGACAGAAGCUUUCCUGCUUUUCUUCACAGGCUUGCUCCGGAAGUUUACAUUUCAGCCCCUGCCUGAGGUCACAGAAUCUGGGUUGGACUUCGCUGCUGAGGUUGGAUUCACUGUGAGACCACGACCUCAAUCAGCCUGUGC